Molecule: ribosomal RNA, 429 nt
Filed under: Gemmatimonadota bacterium
Lineage: Bacteria; Pseudomonadati; Gemmatimonadota
Description: Gemmatimonadetes bacterium partial 16S ribosomal RNA
Rfam family: Bacterial small subunit ribosomal RNA
Source: RNAcentral
UAGGGAAUCUUCGGCAAUGGACGAAAGUCUGACCGAGCAACGCCGCGUGAGUGAAGAAGGUUUUCGGAUCGUAAAACUCUGUUGUUAGAGAAGAACAAGGACGUUAGUAACUGAACGUCCCCUGACGGUAUCUAACCAGAAAGCCACGGCUAACUACGUGCCAGCAGCCGCGGUAAUACGUAGGUGGCAAGCGUUGUCCGGAUUUAUUGGGCGUAAAGCGAGCGCAGGCGGUUUCUUAAGUCUGAUGUGAAAGCCCCCGGCUCAACCGGGGAGGGUCAUUGGAAACUGGGAGACUUGAGUGCAGAAGAGGAGAGUGGAAUUCCAUGUGUAGCGGUGAGAUGAGUAGAUAUAUGGAGGAACACCAGUGGCGAAGGCGGCUCUCUGGUCUGUAACUGACGCUGAGGCUCGAAAGCGUGGGGAGCAAACAGG